CGUUCAUUCUGUCUCUUGUGUGUAGACCGACAUUUGGUUCAAAGGCAGCAGAAUGGUCUUUUCAGGAAAUGACAAAGAUGCCAUAGUACUCAAGUGCUUCAGGGCUCGCAUUACUGAUCGUUCAUCAAACUCACUUCUGUGAGCUCCUUGGACACCUCUGGCUUCACCGCCGCCCUGCCUCAACCCACCUUCCACUGCAGCCGCCGUCACCUGUCCUAUCUGAUAGAACCACAGCCAAAAGGUCCAUCGGCCAGCAAACGGAUAAACAACACAUGGUACAUACAUACGAUGGAGUAUUAUUCAUCCUUAAACAGGAAGGAAAUCCUGACACAUUCGACAGCUUGACUGAACCUUCAAAACAUGAUGCUAAGCACAUAAGAAGUAACACAUGCCUUGGAAGGAGUAACAAAGGGACAAAUUCAUCGUAAUUCCACUUCCGUGAGGAACCUGUCACCAUAUUCAGAGAGACAGGAAGCAGAAGGCAGCUGCUGAGGUUGAGGAGCCGAGGCAGGUGCUGGCGUUUCGCAGAUCCCGUUUUAGUUGGGGAACAGGAAAUAUCCUGCAUCGGCGAUGGUGACCGUUGUACAAUGCUGUGGAUGUACUCAGUACCCCUGGACUGCUCACAGGAAAAUGAUUAAAAUGGCAAAUUUUAUGUUAUAUAUCUUUUACCACAAUGCACUUUAGAAAAUACUUCAAGCUUACAGGAAAGUGCAUAUAACAACCACUUGCACAAGUUCCUGGAUUUAAUAAAUGCUUGCA
Chinchilla lanigera (long-tailed chinchilla) is the source of this 759-nucleotide long non-coding RNA. RefSeq lists it as uncharacterized. The record is from RefSeq and is a predicted model, not a curated record. NCBI's taxonomy places the organism in Eukaryota, Metazoa, Chordata, Mammalia, Rodentia, Chinchillidae. The transcript has 3 exons.